This 504-nucleotide ribosomal RNA is filed under the name uncultured bacterium. RNAcentral's name for it is "partial 16S ribosomal RNA". It matches the Rfam family "Bacterial small subunit ribosomal RNA", at positions 30 to 523 of the family's 1533-position model. The record is from RNAcentral.
AUUGAACGCUGGCGGCAGGCCUAACACAUGCAAGUCGAACGGUAGCAUAGAGAGCUUGCUCUCGGGUGACGAGUGGCGGACGGGUGAGUAACGUCUGGGAAACUGCCCGAUGGAGGGGGAUAACUACUGGAAACGGUAGCUAAUACCGCAUAACGUCGCAAGACCAAAGUGGGGGACCUUCGGGCCUCACACCAUCGGAUGUGCCCAGAUGGGAUUAGUUAGUAGGUGGGGUAAUGGCUCACCUAGGCGACGAUCCCUAGCUGGUCUGAGAGGAUGACCAGCCACACUGGAACUGAGACACGGUCGAGACUCCUACGGGAGGCAGUAGUGGGGAAUAUUGCACAAUGGGCGCAAGCCUGAUUCAGCCAUGCCGCGUGUAUGAAGAAGGCCUUCGGGUUGUAAAGUACUUUCAGCGGGGAGGAAGGCGGUGAAGUUAAUAGCUUCACCGAUUGACGUUACCCGCAGAAGAAGCACCGGCUAACUCCGUGCCAGCCGCCGCAGUAA